AAAACGGCCCUUUUCAGGGCCACUAAAUUGUACGCAACAGUGCGCGU
Molecule: non-coding RNA, 47 nt
Organism: Trichuris trichiura (human whipworm)
Lineage: Eukaryota; Metazoa; Nematoda; Enoplea; Trichinellida; Trichuridae
Source: Rfam